RNAcentral lists this ribosomal RNA (465 nucleotides) under uncultured Arsenophonus sp. RNAcentral's name for it is "bacterial SSU rRNA". It matches the Rfam family "Bacterial small subunit ribosomal RNA", at positions 338 to 795 of the family's 1533-position model. Lineage: Bacteria; Pseudomonadati; Pseudomonadota; Gammaproteobacteria; Enterobacterales; Morganellaceae. The record is from RNAcentral.
CCUACGGGAGGCAGCAGUGGGGAAUAUUGCACAAUGGGCGCAAGCCUGAUGCAGCCAUGCCGCGUGUAUGAAGAAGGCCUUCGGGUUGUAAAGUACUUUCAGUCGGGAGGAAGGUGUUAAGGUUAAUAACCUUAGCAAUUGACGUUAGCGACAGAAGAAGCACCGUCUAACUUCGUGCCAGCAGCCGCGGUAAUACGGAGGGUGCGAGCGUUAAUCGGAAUUACCGGGCGUAAAGGGCGCGCAGGCGGCUACUUCAGUUGGAUAUGAAAACCCCGGGCUUAACCUGUGAAUGUCAUUCAAGACUGGUUUGCUAGAGUCUUGUAGAGGGGGGUAGAAUUCCAUGUGUAGCGGUAAAAUGCGGAGCGAUGUGGAGGAAUACCGGUGCCGAAGACGGCCCCCUGGACAAAAGCUGCCGAGAAUGGGCGAAAGCGUGGGCAGCAAACAUGAUUAGAUACCAGGGUAGUC